CAGCCGCCGCGGUAAUACGUAGGGUGCAAGCGUUAAUCGGAAUUACUGGGCGUAAAGCGUGCGCAGGCGGUUUGUUAAGACAGAUGUGAAAUCCCCGGGCUCAACCUGGGAACUGCAUUUGUGACUGGCAAGCUAGAGUGUGGCAGAGGGGGGCGGAAUUCCGCGUGUAGCAGUGAAAUGCGUAGAUAUGCGGAGGAACACCGAUGGCGAAGGCAGCCCCCUGGGCCAACACUGACGCUCAUGCACGAAAGCGUGGGGAGCAAACAGGAUUAGAUACCCGGGUAGUCCCUGUCUCUUAUAC
Molecule: ribosomal RNA, 301 nt
Filed under: uncultured bacterium
Lineage: Bacteria
Description: partial 16S ribosomal RNA
Rfam family: Bacterial small subunit ribosomal RNA
Source: RNAcentral